Anguilla rostrata (American eel) is the source of this 776-nucleotide long non-coding RNA. RefSeq lists it as uncharacterized. The record is from RefSeq and is a predicted model, not a curated record. The transcript has 4 exons. Lineage: Eukaryota; Metazoa; Chordata; Actinopteri; Anguilliformes; Anguillidae.
GAGCUUUCUGACAAGCGGCAAGCUUGCUGACGGUACAGCGAAACAUUCCACGAGGGAGGUUGUUUUAACUUGUUUCCAGGCAACCACCACCUCCGGCGGAAGAACCUCACGAAGGCGCGGGGUAGCUGUAUUUUGAAAAAAUAAAAGAACCUGCAGUUUGUUUUCUUCCGCUACACUGACAAUAACUCUGACAGUAACUUGCUUGUACGAUUGAAGAGUGGCUCUUUUCACUGAAAUUACAUUGCGAUGGAUUUGAUUUCAGAACAGACGAGAGUCGGAUACAAAGAAAUCGCUGAACUGCUAGGAAAACUGACCGAAGAAACAAGCAAACUCGAGGCACACCAAAAGAAGAUGACCGAACACAAUCAUGCGCUCGGAAAUCUUAACAGAUCCUUCAACCAGGCCCAGACUCGCCUGGAGAGAGUGGCCGUAACGAAGUGCGGCAGUGAACUACUGAAACAGUAACCGCCCCGGACGACAGCUGCGCAGCACCGCUUCAUUCACUGAAAUACCGCUUUAUUUUUACUUUGAAACAUCAUGUGAACAAACACAAGCAUUUCAGUUAAUAAUUACUGAAUCUUUUUUGUUAUAAGUAAAAAAAAAAAAACAACACAUUUUUUAUCACGUUAUGUUUGUGUACAAUAUACUUUUCGUAGUGAUGUAAUUUCAGAUUCACUUGUUGUCUGGUUUAGGCAAGUAUUUAUUUAUUUUUCUUUGAUUUAUUCAGGUGUGUCUGGAGUGUUCGGUAAAUGUGGAAAUAAAAACUUUUUAAAAGA